This is a long non-coding RNA of Gorilla gorilla gorilla (western lowland gorilla), 219 nucleotides long. RefSeq lists it as uncharacterized. The record is from RefSeq and is a predicted model, not a curated record. The transcript is spliced from 3 exons. Lineage: Eukaryota; Metazoa; Chordata; Mammalia; Primates; Hominidae.
CAGAGUUGGCUUGAGAAUUAAGCCAGCACAGUGGAAAAAGAGCAUGGAGAAGAAUGGACCCCUAGAAAUAUUUUCACGUCUCUCAAUCCAGCAUCCACUGUGAGAGAAGUCAUCUGUCAAUUGUUAUCUUUUGAAGGUAGAAUUAGAAAUAAGCAGAGGAAUGGCAUCAUCUAGAGAAGAAUGUCAUGCCCAUUGAAGGACUACCAUUCGUGGAAAAGG